GGGCCUAUAACUCAGUUGGUUAGAGUAUACGCCUGAUAAGUGUAAAGUCAGUAG
This 54-nucleotide transfer RNA is filed under the name Phytophthora pluvialis. RNAcentral's name for it is "partial tRNA-Ile". It matches the Rfam family "tRNA", at positions 1 to 51 of the family's 71-position model. Rfam says of the family: Transfer RNA (tRNA) molecules are approximately 80 nucleotides in length. Their secondary structure includes four short double-helical elements and three loops (D, anti-codon, and T loops). Further hydrogen bonds mediate the characteristic L-shaped molecular structure. tRNAs have two regions of fundamental functional importance: the anti-codon, which is responsible for specific mRNA codon recognition, and the 3' end, to which the tRNAs corresponding amino acid is attached (by aminoacyl-tRNA synthetases). tRNAs cope with the degeneracy of the genetic code in two manners: having more than one tRNA (with a specific anti-codon) for a particular amino acid; and 'wobble' base-pairing, i.e. permitting non-standard base-pairing at the 3rd anti-codon position. The record is from RNAcentral. Lineage: Eukaryota; Oomycota; Peronosporomycetes; Peronosporales; Peronosporaceae.